GAGGGUAUAGCUCAAGUGGUAGAGCGCAUGCUUAGCAUGCACAAAGUCCUGGGUUCACUCCCCAGUAUCUUCA
This 73-nucleotide transfer RNA is filed under the name Camelus bactrianus (Bactrian camel). It matches the Rfam family "tRNA". Rfam says of the family: Transfer RNA (tRNA) molecules are approximately 80 nucleotides in length. Their secondary structure includes four short double-helical elements and three loops (D, anti-codon, and T loops). Lineage: Eukaryota; Metazoa; Chordata; Mammalia; Artiodactyla; Camelidae. RNAcentral also lists the same sequence under 2 other names. The record is from Rfam by way of RNAcentral.